Molecule: ribosomal RNA, 1804 nt
Filed under: human gut metagenome
Description: bacterial LSU rRNA
Rfam family: Bacterial large subunit ribosomal RNA
Source: RNAcentral
UAUCGUGCGAGGUUAAGUAGAAGAUACGGAGCCGAAGCGAAAGCGAGUCUUAAUAGGGCGAGAGUACGAUGGCGUAGACCCGAAACCGGGUGAUCUAUCCAUGAGCAGGUUGAAGUUGAGGUGAAACUCAAUGGAGGACCGAACCGACCACCGUUGAAAAGUUGGCGGAUGACUUGUGGAUAGGGGAGAAAUUCCAAUCGAACCCGGAUAUAGCUGGUUCUCCUCGAAAUAGCUUUAGGGCUAGCGUCGGGAAGAAGUCUUAUGGAGGUAGAGCACUGAAUGUAUGAUGGCCCCAUCUCGGGGUACUGAGUAUAAUCAAACUCCGAAUGCCGUAAGAUAUGCCCGGCAGUCAGACUGUGGGUGAUAAGGUCCAUGGUCAAAAGGGAAACAGCCCAGACCGCCAGCUAAGGUCCCAAAAUAUAUGCUAAGUGGAAAAGGAUGUGGAGAUGUCCAGACAACCAGGAGGUUGGCUCAGAAGCAGCCACCCUUUAAAGAGUGCGUAACAGCUCACUAGUCGAGUGACCCUGCGCCGAAAAUGUACCGGGGCUAAGCAGAUUACCGAAGCUGCGGAUUAUCUAAGGAUGAUGGUAGAGGAGCGUUCCAUGCAGGUAGAAGCCAUACCGGAAGGAGUGGUGGACAGCAUGGAAGUGAGAAUGCCGGUGUGAGUAGCGAGAUGCAGGUGAGAAUCCUGCACACCGAUUGCCUAAGGGUUCCAGGGGAAGGUUCGUCCGCCCUGGGUAAGUCAGGACCUAACGCGAGGCCGAAAGGCGUAGUGGAUGGACAACAGGUAGAGAUUCCUGUACCCGCUUUGAGAGUGAUGGAGUGACGGAGAAGGCUAGUAUGACCCACUAAACGGAUUGUGGGCUAAGCGAGAAGGCUGAUACGCAGGCAAAUCCGCGUAUCGGAAGGCUAAGACGUGAAGGGGAAACGAACGGGCGACCAAGUAGUGAAGCAUGCGAUGCCAGCUUCCAAGAAAAGCUUCUAACAAAAUCUCAAGGCGGCCUGUACCACAAACCGACACAGGUGGGCAAGGCGAGAAGCCUAAGGUGAGCGAGAGAACUGUUGCCAAGGAACUCGGCAAAAUGAUCCCGUACGUUCGCAAGAAGGGAUGCUGAUAGAGAUAUCAGCCGCAGUGAAGAGGCCCAAGCGACUGUUUAACUAAAACACAGCUCUCUGCAAAGUCGUAAGACGAAGUAUAGGGGGUGACUCCUGCCCGGUGCUGGAAGGUUAAGGGGAUCUGUUAGAGCAAUCGAAGCAGAGAACCGAAGCCCCAGUGAACGGCGGCCGUAACUAUAACGGUCCUAAGGUAGCGAAAUUCCUUGUCAGGUAAGUUCUGACCCGCACGAAAGGAGUAACGAUUUGGGCGCUGUCUCGGCAGCAGACUCGGUGAAAUCUUAGUACCUGUGAAAAUGCAGGUUACCCGCAACUAGACGGAAAGACCCCAUGGAGCUUUACUGUAGCUUGAUAUUGAAUUUUGAUUAUACAUGUACAGGAUAGGUGGGAGACGAGGAGACGUGCACGCCAGUGUACGAGGAGUCAUUGUUGGGAUACCACCCUUGUGUAAUUGAAGUUCUAACCAGUUACCCGGGACGGGUAAUGGGACAGUGUCAGGUGGGCAGUUUGACUGGGGCGGUCGCCUCCCAAAGAGUAACGGAGGCGCCCAAAGGUACGCUCAGAUUGGUUGGAAAUCAAUCGGCGAGUGCAAUUGCAGAAGCGUGCUUGACUGUGAGACCAACAAGUCGAACAGGGACGAAAGUCGGGAAUAGUGAUCCGGCGGUGCCGAAUGGAAGGGCCGUCGCUCAAC